GUUUAGGAGUGAGCGUGUCGUGUUCGGAACCGGUGGCAAGUCCCCCUGACCGGGGCCUGUCCGUAGCGGGUGCGAGGCCCAUAGCCGCCGGGUCCGUCGCGAAUGCGAUCUCCUGGGAGUCGGGUUGCUUGGGAGUGCAGCCCCAAUCGGGUGGUAAACUCCACCUAAGGCUAAAUACCGCCGUGAGACCGAUAGCAAACAAGUACCGUGAGGGAAAGUUGCAAAGAACUUUGAAGAGAGAGUUCAAGAGUACGUGAAACUGCUCAGAGGUAAACGGGUGGGCCCUCGAAAUCCUGUGGCGAGAGGAUUCAGUCUUUGCCGGCGGACGUGUCGGAGGAAGAAACCGAGCAGGGCUUCCGCUGGACGCGGGCCGUCCUCCGAUGCGACCUCAACUGGCGCAGACGCAUUUGACUCUCGUUCCUUGGACGCUGCAGCCGGUCUGGAAGUGCAAGCGCGACGGCCUGAAGGCCGGGAAUCGGCAGGUGGCCGGUGGCACGCCCUGUGUGGGUUGCCGGUUGUUAGCCAUCUCGGCAGUGGCCCGUCUCCAGACCGAGGUGUCGCGAGUCCCUUCGGGGACUCCUCGUCUCCACCCCAGAGUCGCAGGGCAGGGCACGGCCCGGGCUCUUGGCGUCGACCCUCGCACUUCCACGGAGUGGGGGGAAGAGCCAUGGGCCCUAACCGCCGUGACGGACCUGCGGGGGACCGGAGGCUGGCAGCGAGUAGGUCGGUCACCCACCCGGCCCGUCUUGAAACACGGACCA
RNAcentral lists this ribosomal RNA (761 nucleotides) under Paraharmochirus tualapaensis. RNAcentral describes it as "partial 28S ribosomal RNA". It matches the Rfam family "Eukaryotic large subunit ribosomal RNA", at positions 150 to 668 of the family's 3401-position model. The record is from RNAcentral. Lineage: Eukaryota; Metazoa; Arthropoda; Arachnida; Araneae; Salticidae.